Molecule: ribosomal RNA, 894 nt
Filed under: Triticum aestivum (bread wheat)
Lineage: Eukaryota; Viridiplantae; Streptophyta; Magnoliopsida; Poales; Poaceae
Description: partial small subunit ribosomal RNA
Source: RNAcentral
AUGUAUAAGAAGAGGAAACUGUGGGCCGCGGCUUAUCUGACAGAGGGGUUUUGGCUUGGCUUGAAAAGCAACCAGCGGAGUGAAAGCCUGAACUCAUCCCUUCACCUCCACCUAGACGGUGAAAUGACCUUGGUGGAUAUGAUUUUGCACUAUGAGAAUGCCGUUGUAUGUAUCCGUGAAAACGAGGAGCAAGAUGACUGCAUGGACUCACAGAGUUUACCGGUGCCAGUUACUACCUCGAGGGAACUUGACAUAGCUGCUUCUUACGUCUUCACUCCAUCAAAUUUCUAUAUGUUGCAAGAUGAUCUUAGAAAAAUUGGCGGCAUGGAGAUUGUAGAAAUUAAGCUGGGAGAUGGAUCACAACAGUACAUCGUGGCCUGGAAGAAUAACCGGAAGAGCCGUUUUUGGGUGGAGUAUGCACCAGUAAAUUCUGCAGAAACUAUAAGGUGCGGCUACAGAAGAAUGAUUCGAAAGGGUCUACCUUGCAAGCACAUAUUCCGUGUACUGAAGUACUUGAACAUAUCUGAAAUACCAAAGUGUUUAGUUCUUGUUUGGUUCACGAAAGAAGCAAGGUUGGGACUGCCCGCGAGGCGCACAAGCGAUCUGUUGGGAUUUGGUUGGACUGGGGCAGGGGAAAGAAUGAAAUAUAGCCAGGUCAGUGUGUUAGCGUCAGAAGCUAUGCAUGCGGCAUGCAAACACCCAGCUUUGUGGGAUCAGUUACAGGAGAUUUUGAAGGUUGUGAUAGCUAAGAGUCAUGAGUAUGACCUGCUACUGGAAAAUUUGAGCAAGAAACAAAUGACCUCAGUAAGUGUGCAGUUGAAUAUGUGGACGAUGGUGUCAAGCAAAGGUGCAACAAAGGUAGAUGAGAGCUGCCCUAUCUCGAAAAAAUGGUAG